UACAGAGGUGGCAAGCGUUGUUCGGAAUUACUGGGCGUAAAGGGCGCGUAGGCGGCCUCGCAAGUCCCGUGUGAAAUCCCUCGGCUCAACUGAGGAAUGGCACGGGAAACUGCGGGGCUUGAGUUCGGGAGAGGGAAGCGGAAUUCCGGGUGUAGCGGUGAAAUGCGUAGAUAUCGUAAGGAAGACCAGUGGCGAAGGCGGGUCUCUGGACAGUUCCUGACGCUGAGGCACGAAGGUCAGGGGAGCAAACGGG
This 253-nucleotide ribosomal RNA is filed under the name uncultured bacterium. RNAcentral's name for it is "partial 16S ribosomal RNA". It matches the Rfam family "Bacterial small subunit ribosomal RNA", at positions 524 to 776 of the family's 1533-position model. The record is from RNAcentral.